GCCCGAGUGGUGAAAUUGGUAGACACGCCAUCUUGAGGGGGUGGUGUCCUAACGGACGUAGCGGUUCAAGUCCGCUCUCGGGCA
This 84-nucleotide transfer RNA is filed under the name Candidatus Cloacimonadota bacterium. Its description in RNAcentral is "tRNA-Leu". It matches the Rfam family "tRNA". Rfam says of the family: Transfer RNA (tRNA) molecules are approximately 80 nucleotides in length. Their secondary structure includes four short double-helical elements and three loops (D, anti-codon, and T loops). Further hydrogen bonds mediate the characteristic L-shaped molecular structure. tRNAs have two regions of fundamental functional importance: the anti-codon, which is responsible for specific mRNA codon recognition, and the 3' end, to which the tRNAs corresponding amino acid is attached (by aminoacyl-tRNA synthetases). tRNAs cope with the degeneracy of the genetic code in two manners: having more than one tRNA (with a specific anti-codon) for a particular amino acid; and 'wobble' base-pairing, i.e. permitting non-standard base-pairing at the 3rd anti-codon position. RNAcentral also lists the same sequence under 2 other names. Lineage: Bacteria; Pseudomonadati; Candidatus Cloacimonadota. The record is from RNAcentral.